RNAcentral lists this non-coding RNA (97 nucleotides) under Flammeovirga sp. SJP92. RNAcentral describes it as "SAM-I/IV (S-adenosyl methionine) riboswitch aptamer". It matches the Rfam family "SAM-I/IV (S-adenosyl methionine) riboswitch aptamer". From Rfam's summary of the family: It is found upstream of a number of genes which code for proteins involved in methionine or cysteine biosynthesis. RNAcentral also lists the same sequence under 1 other name. The record is from Rfam by way of RNAcentral. Lineage: Bacteria; Pseudomonadati; Bacteroidota; Cytophagia; Cytophagales; Flammeovirgaceae.
UGUCAUCAUCAAGAAUCCUUGAAUGGAUACCAACCGAGUAUAAUCCACGGUGGUAAAAACGAUGUGGUCCGUAGGAAGGACAAAAACCUACCCCCAC